RNA transcript from Homalodisca vitripennis (glassy-winged sharpshooter), 6407 nucleotides. It is a transcript of the gene named ras-related protein Rab-4B, with no coding region annotated. The record is from RefSeq and is a predicted model, not a curated record. NCBI's taxonomy places the organism in Eukaryota, Metazoa, Arthropoda, Insecta, Hemiptera, Cicadellidae. The transcript has 7 exons.
UCAGCUGUUUUAAGUUAUAAACAAGGUCUUGGCUUGUUGACUAAUUUCAGUCAAGUAUUUAACAUCUGGAGUGUAUUAUAUUUUGUUUCUUCAACCAUUAUACGUAAAACAUUUUUGUAUUAUAAUAAUAUUUUGAGUUAAUGAGUUUUCUUAAAAAAAUACUGUGGUACCUUACUUCAAGACAAGUGAAAUAUGUAAAUGCUGUCUUGCCCAAUAUCUUGGUAGUUACACGAAGUCAAAGACUAAAAAUAAUUCAAUUUUGAACUAUAAACAUAGGAAUCAAAUAUAUUGUGUUAGUAAUACAUCAUAAUUAAUUUCUCCUUGAAAAUUUGUAGGAUUUAAUAUGUCAGAGACUUAUGAUUAUUUGUUUAAAUUCCUAGUAAUUGGAUCUGCAGGAACAGGAAAGUCAUGCAUUUUGCAUCAGUUCAUUGAAAACAAGUUCAAAAGUGACAGCAGUCAUACGAUUGGGGUGGAGUUUGGAUCCAAGAUCGUAAAUGUGGCCGGUAAGUCGGUGAAGCUGCAGAUUUGGGACACAGCAGGCCAGGAACGCUUCAGGUCUGUGACAAGAAGUUACUACCGAGGAGCUGCAGGAGCACUGCUGGUUUUCGAUAUCACUAACAGAGAAAGUUUCAACAACCUGGCUGAAUGGCUGCAAGAUGCAAGGAUGCUUGCCAGUCCUGACAUCAUCAUCCUGCUGAUCGGUAAUAAGAAAGAUCUGGAAGCAGAACGAGAGGUUACGUUCCUGCAGGCCAGUCAGUUUGCACAAGAGAAUCACUUAAUGUACCUGGAAGCCAGUGCUAAAUCUGGAGAAAAUGUAGAAGAAGCAUUUCUUAAAUGCUGCAAAACUAUUCUAGCUAAAAUACAAACUGGUUUUGGGGAGGUCGUUGUACAAUUUUGGGCCGAAGUACGAGAAGCUCCUCCUACCCAACUCCAGGUUCACUUUUGGAAAGUGUAGCAAGUGCAUGACAUGACGGGUUCUGUAUUUUGAAACCUCCUUCCGGGAUGAGAGCCUCCCGCUUAAGUACUGCGGCUCUCCGUCAGACAGAACCUUGUGAAUUAAAAUACAGGUGAGCUGGACCCUGAUCGCAUAGGUUCUGGAAUCCAGUACGGGGACUCUGCCUCCAGGAGGCUACGACAGGAUAGGUCUCGACGCCACCCAGAAUGUUUCUGCCACAUGUAACAGUUGAGACGUGUCUCAUGUACAUACACUUCAAAUACUGUCAUAUUUUUACAAUAUAUUUCUCCUCUUAUGCACUUUAAAGGCUGAUUUUUGUGGUAUUACCAAUAUUAUUUUGCUGUAUCUUGUUUUCUCUGAAUUUCUUAGUAGUUAGAGAGUUUUACAGAAAUAAGUAUAAUUUUGUAAUAUAGGUAUAUGAAAUAUUAUUUUACAGCAAUAGAAAUAACACUGCUUUAAAUUGUUUUAAUAUUUACCAACGCACAUUCCAGUGUAGUGGCUCUUUGUUUUUAUGUAGUUUUUAGUCAGAUAUAUAAUAUUUUUCUAAUAGUUUACUCUAAAAUUGUUAUUAUUAUGGAGUUAUAGAUUUACCAAUCUGUUUGUUUUGAUAAAUUUACGUUAUGUAAAAAAUUCUGAAUUAUUAUAGGAAAGAGUGAUACAAUUGCAUAUUGUAAUAGUCUAGGCUGUAUUUUUAGGUGUGCUCAGUUCUUGGAAACGGUUUACUCAACAAAAUGAGUGAGUAAUUAAAUAAAUAAAAACAACUCAGAUUAGACUUAGAAUUUAAUAAAUCAUUGAUACAAUACAUACAGUUAAAAUACAUUUACUUAAUAAAACAGUGCAUUAAAUAAAACUAUUAUUAUCUUGAAAAAUUUCUUUUGCCAUACUAAGCACACUUGCCCUUUGCAUGUGUUGAUAAUGUAUACAUUUUCAACUUACAGAGUUGGAAGUCCAAGUUCUGAACUCUAGUGUGUUAGUGUUAGUGUCUAUUGUACUCACACAUGAGAGUCCACCUCGUUCUUGUCGCCAGUAUUGAGUACAUCUGAUACGAUCUCAUCAUCUGUUAUUAUUUUUCUUCUCUGGCUAUCCAGGCAUAUAAUAUGUCAGCUGUUGUCAAGUCACACACGAUGAUCAUAUCCGAGGUGUUCAAUCAUUGCUUCUCUUGAGUCGCUUAACUAUCUUUGUUUUAUGUUGUUCAUUACAUUAAUAUUUAUUUUUUUGAUAAACAUGUAAUAAAGUUAGAGAGAGGCAUAGAUUUAUCCAUAAAAAAACUACAGACUUAAACUUGACAUCUUUGAGUUUAGUGUUCGUCAGUGCUUGACAAGACACUGCACAACAUUCUGAUCUGUUGAUUGAACCAGCAAGGUAAUAUUUGAAGGAAAAAAUUAUAUGCAGAUAUAACCAUCACCAGACCUUAAAUUUAUGUUCAUCAGAUGUUCAGGACAGUUGUCAAGAAUCAGUAGGACUUAUUGGAAUUGUUUUUUUUUUUUAAGAAACAUUCCUACUGAUGAAAUGAAGUGUGUGUGUGUGUGUGAAACCAUUUACUGGCAAGUGUUUUUGUCAUCAACACUUUAGUUUAGUUUGUGUGCAAAACAGAACCAAUAUUAUUGGUUGGGGAAGGGUUGAUUGUCAUUCUUAACCCUUUAAGGAGUGCAUGUAAACUAUACAUAAUGAGUAAGGACGUCAUGUGACGUAUAUUCUUAUAGUGGCCCAAAAGAGUACGGACGUCAUAUGACGAUGUGAUGCUAUUACUGAUUGCCUUUAAGUAGAUUAGUCUGUAAAGUGGUUCCAUCUAUUGGCAACAUACUUAAUUUCCAUUUUUGUGCUCGCAAUCACUUGUAAUCUGAUUUUACCACCUGAUCGCAGUAGCCACCUGGUAGAAGCCACUGACUCAAGGUCGCUUCGCGCGCGCAUCGCUUUAUGCCAGAAUAUGCCACCACAUUAUACUAGCCAUUCCUUGUAUACUGCAUACUGUGGCCAUAUAUUUUAUCUUGUGAGAGUGACAUAUUUGUUGAGCAACCAUCUAGCUUGUUACUGUUGUCCAAAUGGCAGACAAUACUGAUUGAGUCUGCCGUACUUAGGAAAUAAGACAUUUGAUUUUGAAAAAGUAAUAAAAUAUUGAUUUGUAGAACACGUAGUCCUUUUUAAUUAAGCUUUCAAAUAUAAAUAAACAUUUUUAAAAGAUUUUAAAUAUUAUAUUUCUUACUUCUUUUGGUAAUUUUUUGGGUAUCAUCCAUUACUCAUUUUAGCCUAUCAAAAGAAGACAUCAUAUGACGUCCAUACUCCUUAAAGGGUUAAAAGGUCUGGAACUUUAUGAUUUAUCAGUGAAAAGCAUUUGCAACUUGUGAAUGCCACUAACAUUAGAGCAAGGCAUGAAAAUCAUCCGGUCUUUAGCCAAUUUUUGACCAGAAGCACUAACUUAGGCUCCAUGUACAAGUGUCUUUUUGGCUAAAGGUACCAAAACAAGCCGCUUUCGUCAAGAAAUAAAGGCCUCAACAGAUUCUAUAUCAGAUGAGAGUUUUGCACCAGUUACAUUUAACAAUCUGACUCCAAAACAUUUUUUUAGUUUUUAAGUUAACUUGCACUUCUACAGGUUGAAAAUAAUCUUUUUAUAUAAAUUUGUAUGCAAGAAUUUGAUCUUUUCCAUGAAGUAGGUGCAUGCCUGUUUGUUCCUUACACGAACGAAGUAUAAUCGAAUCUUCUACUUGUUUUAAAACCUCAUCUCACCAAUUUUCAAAAUUGUUCUUACACUUACAGAGGACUCACUGCUAUUGAAGAACAACUUAAUUCGAUCCUUCUUCUUUAUUUCCCCCAUGUAUAAAACAUUACCAUGUUUGUUCCACAGAUCACAAAUAUUAGUUAGAUUCAGUGGUGGUGGUAUGUUGCAGAUCAAUCUCAAGAACACGGUCAGUGCUGGAUAAUGUACAAUUUAUUCUGUUGUCAAGGCGAGAUCAUUGAUUUAUUUUAGUGAAUGCUUAACCUUAGGACCUUAAGUUUAUUUUGGAUACCUGAAGAAAACAUUAGCAUUCUUAAGUUUUCAAUCCUCGAGAUGUACUGUGCUUUUUAUAUCUUAUAAUGGUGGCAAAUGUUCAGAAUACUGUAAUUCUUUCAAAUCAUUCAUCAUCAAUAUUAAAAUUAAAAGAAAAAAAAAGUGCAUCUACACUCAUACUACAUAUAAUCUGAUACUAGAAAAGGUAUGGAGUAUGUAAGGUGGUAAGCAUAUUUUCUGUACAUCAUUUUACUUUGUUUAAUUAAUGUCAAAUUCUGUCUAUGAAUUGGUGAACCUCAGGUUGUUAAUCUGUAGAAAGGGAAUUCUUCUCAAUGGAGGCUGAAAAUUUUAUAAAUGUCUAUUUCUUAUAAUAAAGAGUAAUGCAGUUUCUAAAACAAUUAUUUAAACAGAUAAAGAGUUGAGUAUAAAUUUGUAUGAUCAAAAUUAUAACAAAAACAAAGAGGAAAUGAUUACUUUAGCCUUACUGAUAUAUCUAACGGUGUUACAAAUAACAUGUUAUUGUCUCACAAUGUUUCAUGUGGAGUUUUAACAAACUGACUUGAAAGUGUAGCGUUCACUUCAUUCUGCAGUCAAGCUCUCACAUAUAUUGGUGAAUUUAGACUGUUACUGAUCUAAUGGUGUUACAAAUAACAUGUUAUUGUCUCACAAUGUUUCAUGUGGAGUUUUAACAAACUGACUUGAAAGUGUAGAGUUCACUUCAUUCUGCAGUCAAGCUCUCACAUAUAUUGGUGAAUUUAGACUGUUACUGAUCUAAUGGUGUUACAAAUAACAUGUUAUUGUCUCACAAUGUUUCAUGUGAAGUUUUAACAAACUGACUUGAAAGUGUAGAGAAAAGUGCUUCAUUCUGCAACCAAGCUCUCACAUAAAUAUUGGAGAGUGUAAAAAUAAUAUAAACAAAUUAUUUGGAAAUCCAUUAAAUGAGUGUGGCUGACAAUGAUUUUUGUUCUUAGAAAGUUAUACUUUAUAGAUUUGAAGAAGAAAGAAUCAUGUACGUGAUUAUACAGCACUGAUAAUUUUUGGCUCCUAGACUAAGGCUUUUAAAUUUUAUUGGUAAUAUUGUUUAAUUGAAUUUUUUUAAUUUUAUUCAAAUUAUGAACUCAGAUUAUUAUUAAAUAAAAGUUAAAUUGAUGUAUUUAACAAAGGAAUACGUAUUUGGAUUAAAUGUUUUAAUGUGUAUAUGGUACAUUUAUGUUGUACAUAAAAGAUAUCAUAUGCAAGUUUACGCUGAAAUAAUUUGAAUUGUGUUUUAAUACAUUUAAUAAUAUCACACCAAAGAUUGUUAAAAAUGAAUUCAUUAAUAUAACGAGGCCAAAUCCCUUGUGAGAGGAGGUUGUCAUGCCUGUAUCUGCAUAAAUAUAUAAAAUACUAACUGCAAGCAAAAUAUUGUUUACAAAAGUUUGAUAAUUAUUUAAGGUUUUGAAAACACAAAACACGUUUUAGCGUUAUGUAAUUUGUGUACUGCUGAUCAGCUGAUAAUGACUCCAUAGACUCGUUGUAUUCGACAAAUCACUAAUUUAGUGCCUUGCCCAGUAGUUAUAUUGAAAAUACUGAUAAUAUUGUUUAAACUUUUAAUUGUAUUAUUAGUAAAAAAAAAUUUAAUUUAAAAGUGUUGUUUUAUCUUUUUAAAUGAUAGCCUAUCUGAUCUAGCAGCCCCAAAGUAACAAUAACUCAAUCAGUGAAAGGUUUGAUAACCCCCUACUUACUAUUACACUACCCCACUGUGUAUUAGUAAAGUAGUAUGGUACAUGAUAAAUUUUACUUUGUGUAUUGAAGUAAUGACAGAUCUCACCCAAUUGUAUUUUAUAGGAUUCAUUAUUUCUUAAGGAACAUUACGUUUUGUUGUAUUUUAUUAUAUAUUUUGAAAUAUUUGUUUCCAUUUUCAUUUAAUAAAUAAGGUUUCAUUUAGACUAAUGUUUAAAAAUUACAAAUUUUUUAAGAUAGAAAAUAUUUAUUAAAGUUAUUUUGAUGAAACAUUUGUAUCGGAUAUUUUAUGUAGUUUGAAUUAUGAUUAUAUAUCACAACUGUUCUUUAAAUCCGGACGAGUUUUUCCCUUUAUAUUAUAAUUGUUCUUUUUCUUACAAAAUAUUUUUAUAGUUUUUAAAGUAAGGUAAAGAGCUUUUUUCAGCAAAUAAUUUUCUAGACAUAAUUAGAAAAGAACUAUUCAUAGACUAGGUCUAAAAUGUAACAAAUUAAAGAUGUAUUUUACCUAAAGAGUAUAAGUGAAAUGAUUGGUGUUGUUGACAUUUAACACUAUUUAUUAUAACAUAAAAAUCUGAAAGGUUGUAAGUACUUAACCACUACAGUUAUAUUGUAUCCACCUGUUAGUGAGAUCAGUUAGUUUACUGCUUUAGUUGCUUGUACAAUGUAGGCCAGUAAGGUGAUGUAUUACUUUGUUAUCACACAGUGUUUUACUUUUAAUGAAUAAAAAAUAUACAGUAACAUGAA